RNAcentral lists this ribosomal RNA (497 nucleotides) under uncultured bacterium. RNAcentral's name for it is "partial 16S ribosomal RNA". It matches the Rfam family "Bacterial small subunit ribosomal RNA", at positions 28 to 507 of the family's 1533-position model. The record is from RNAcentral.
GAUGAACGCUGGCGGCGUGCCUAAUACAUGCAAGUCGAGCGAACGGACGAGAAGCUUGCUUCUCUGAUGUUAGCGGCGGACGGGUGAGUAACACGUGGAUAACCUACCUAUAAGACUGGGAUAACUUCGGGAAACCGUAGCUAACUCGGGAUAAUAUUUUGAACCGCAUGGUUCAAAAGUGAAAGACGGUGUUGCUGUCACUUAUAGAUGGAUCCGCGCUGCAUUAGCUAGUUGGUAAGGUAACGGCUUACCAAGGCAACGAUGCAUAGCCGACCUGAGAGAGUGAUCGGCCACACUGGAACUGAGACACGGUCCAGACUCCUACGGGAGGCAGCAGUAGGGAAUCUUCCGCAGUGGGCGAAAGCCUGACGGAGCAACGCCGCGUGAGUGAUGAAGGUCUUCGGAUCGUAAAACUCUGUUAUUAGGUAAGAACAUAUGUGUAAGUAACUGUGCACAUCUUGACGGUACCUAAUCAGAAAGCCACGGCUAACUACGUG